AUCCCCAUUAUUCCCUAUGGGAAAAAGCUUAAAGACAUGCCAACUUCAAAAAUUCUUUAAAAAUCACCUCUUUGCCCAAUUUCUUUGAAAUUUGGGUGGUGGCUUCCACUCAUUGGGCACUACCACCCACCCACACUCUUUUGGCCCAGUGACCCUUUUUUAAUCUGAAUCUAUUUGGAUUCAGAAAAUUCAGGUACAAAUCAAAUAAGGAGUGAUUCAGAGGGGUCAGGUUUGGUUCCAAAACAAAUCAGGGGUGUUUUGAUUGGGGUACAAAUCAAAAUGAAAAAAUCAAUUCGUGCACACCCCUAGCUGUGAAUGUACUUACAAGCGUACACAUUUAGGCACAUUGCAGAUUGUAUUAACACAUCAGAAGGUGGAGCCUGUCCCCUCCCACUAGAUAUGCUUCAAUUGUUAACAUGGAGAAGGAGCCCUGUUAUCAGAACAGUACAAAGCCUAUGACACUUUCUGUUCUAUUUUCCAACUCCCUUCCUAAAGAUCCCUAAUACUGAUUAUGUCUUUUCCAUUGCUGCAGUAUACUAAGGUAACGUUUUCCUUGGGCUUUCUAGUGUGAUCCAGUCACUUUCCUGACUGUUUGCAGCCAACACAGACCUCAGGAGUGUAUAAAAUGAAUUUAAGGAUGCUCUCUUUCUAAUCUACAGUUCUUUUCUUUCUUCAGCCAUACUUCUGCAUUUGGGAUUGAUUCAUGAACCUAUGGUAUUUUAUACCAAGACUGCAAUCAACAUCCCACAGCCAGAUCAUUUGCCAUUUCCAUCACAUGUUGGAGCUCACAGACUGUAACAAGGACUCAGAGGCUGCAACCCACAAAGAAGGCUGGAUCACUCUAGCAGGGCUGAUGCACACCACCACUCUGCUUGUGGUCAACUGCUCUUCUUUCCAGCCCCAAUCUAUGCUUUUGUGAUUGCAGAGAAGGCCACCACUUAGUCACAGAGUGCAUUCUUUGCAUACAUAAAGCCUUCAGUCAAACUCAGGCAUCCCCCAUCUGAAAAGGAAGAGGAAGAAAAGGCUCUAGCUGAGAUCUUGGAGAACUGUUUCCAGUAAGAGCAGAUAGUCUUAGGCUAGAUGGGCACUGGCUUGAUGAAGUCAAUGCAGCAAGCCAUGCAAACUAUUUUAUUUUGCUUUAAUGGAUAUCAAGUUAUAUAGUGCCCUCCAUGUACAUUGUGCUUUUCAAGGAAUGAGCACACAGGGACUUUCAAUCCAGAUAGUGACACAAGGGAGACUAUCAUCUACCUCCAGCCCUAGAUACAGGUGAGCAGCCAUUCUGCAUCGUUCUACAUUCCUGUUUUGGAAAGUAAUCUGCAAGAUCAACACAUCAAGCAAGCUUUUCUCCAGCAAGCAAGUCCUGCCAAUUUGGAUGGACUUGUGUCUUUUAUUAAAAACAGUCGCCCAGUAAAGAAGGUGAGCUUUUUUUCCCCAAGUCAGCAUUUUCACAAGCAGCU
Molecule: long non-coding RNA, 1457 nt
Organism: Hemicordylus capensis (graceful crag lizard)
Lineage: Eukaryota; Metazoa; Chordata; Lepidosauria; Squamata; Cordylidae
Exons: 3
Source: RefSeq, a predicted model, not a curated record